GACGAACGCUGGCGGCGUGCUUAACACAUGCAAGUCGAACGGAAAGGCCCUGCUUUUGUGGGGUGCUCGAGUGGCGAACGGGUGAGUAACACGUGAGUAACCUGCCCUUGACUUUGGGAUAACUUCAGGAAACUGGGGCUAAUACCGGAUAGGAGCUCCUGCUGCAUGGUGGGGGUUGGACAGUUUCGGCGGUUGGGGAUGGACUCGCGGCUUAUCAGCUUGUUGGUGGGGGAGGGGCUUACCGAGGCUGUGCCGGGUAGCCGGCCGGAGAGGGUGACCGGGCACAGUGGGACGGGGAGACGGCCCAGACUCCUACGGGAGGCAGCAGUGGGGAAUAUUGCGCAAUGGGCGGAAGCCUGAUGCAGCAACGCCGCGUGCGGGAUGACGGCCUUCGGGUUGUAAACCGCUUUCGCCUGUGACGAAGCGUGAGUGACGGUAAUGGGUAAAGAAGCACCGGCUAACUACGUG
RNAcentral lists this ribosomal RNA (468 nucleotides) under uncultured bacterium. Its description in RNAcentral is "partial 16S ribosomal RNA". It matches the Rfam family "Bacterial small subunit ribosomal RNA", at positions 28 to 507 of the family's 1533-position model. The record is from RNAcentral.